RNAcentral lists this ribosomal RNA (497 nucleotides) under uncultured bacterium. RNAcentral describes it as "partial 16S ribosomal RNA". It matches the Rfam family "Bacterial small subunit ribosomal RNA", at positions 28 to 507 of the family's 1533-position model. The record is from RNAcentral.
GAUGAACGCUGGCGGCGUGCCUAAUACAUGCAAGUCGAGCGAACGGACGAGAAGCUUGCUUCUCUGAUGUUAGCGGCGGACGGGUGAGUAACACGUGGAUAACCUACCUAUAAGACUGGGAUAACUUCGGGAAACCGGAGCUAAUACCGGAUAAUAUUUUGAACCGCAUGGUUCAAAAGUGAAAGACGGUCUUGCUGUCACUUAUAGAUGGAUCCGCGCUGCAUUAGCUAGUUGGUAAGGUAACGGCUUACCAAGGCAACGAUGCAUAGCCGACCUGAGAGGGUGAUCGGCCACACUGGAGCUGAGACACGGUCCAGACUCCUACGGGCGGCAGCAGUAGGGAAUCUUCCGAGAUGGGCGAAAGCCUGACGGAGCAACGCCGCGUGAGUGAUGAGGGUCUUCGGAUCGUAAAACUCUGUUAUUAGGGAAGAACAUAUGUGUAAGUAACUGUGCACAUCUUGACGGUACCUAAUCAGAAAGCCACGGCUAACUACGUG